UGUGGGGAGCCGAGACUCAGAUGCCACUAGCUGGCGCUGACAUCUCGCCCUCAAAACUUAAACCUCCAGGGUGCAUGCGUAGAUGCGUAUACACGCUAAAGAUUGCGUAAGCACGCUAAGAAUUGCGUAGGCAUGCCGGUAAGAGUGAGCAGCCAAUCAGGGUAUUGACACGUCACUCAGGUGGACCCGGGCUUAUAUAAACAGCGCUACUCCGGGGCCCGCCCUCUCCUUCGAUCUCUUCCUUCCCCGUUUCCCCGCCCGGGGCCGCGGCCCUCGGGAAGCCGCCCGCGCCCACGAGGUGGCCGGGCGGCCUCUCUCUCCCCUCUUCAUCGCGUGACUAAUAAAGUUUACUGCGGAAGGAUUCCUGUGGUCGCGUGCGUUUCUGCCGGCGAAACAUUCACGCGGCGGCUCCCAACAUCUGGUGCCGAAACCCGGGAACAUUGCUGGGAAGAAAACAAUCCAUUCUGGGUACCGGAGCGCCUCACGCGAAAGCUCGUGACAGCUGAAGAUGAUCUUCCAACAGACACACCUGCUACUGCUGAAAGAAUCCAGGACAGCGAGGAGGACCACUAAUUCUACUCGAGUGGAUUCAUUGCCCACAGACUGGCUUUACCCUGGGUUUCUUCUGCCUUUUCUUACUUCAGAUUGGGUGGGGGUCGGAAUGUUUGGUGUAGCAUUGUGUCGUGGCUUAGUGUUUUUUACUCUGGUUGUUCUGCAAACUCUAUACCCAAAACAAACGUGACUAGGUCGCAAUCGCGCAAGCACUAGCACCCUUGGAACAAGGAUCGUCUCCCAAAAAUUUGGUUAUCCAUGUUAAAAAAUUAAAACAGACUGUGACACUCAGUCGAUGCACCUCAGGGGUUUCACCCAUUGCACUGAGUCGAUGAGUGAUCCAGGUUAAUGUUGCCUUUGCCUAAACGGUUAUGGUACCUAGACAGGAGGGUGACAGCUCUUGCACUCCCUGGAAUUUUAUUCCAUUGCACGGGAAUGAGUGUCACCUCCUUUCUGAGAUGUGGUACCUAGACAGGAGGGUGACAGCUCUUGCACUCCCUGGAAUUUUAUUCCAUUGCACGGAAAUGAGUGUCACCUCCUUUCUGAGAUGUGGUACCUAGACAGGAGGGUGACAGCUCUUGCACUCCCUGGAAUUUUAUUCCAUUGCACGGGAAUGAGUGUCACCUCCUUUUAAAAAAUCUUCUCCCCUAGCCCCUGCACCCAGAGGACUUGUUUCCAUUGCACCUGGUGGGGUAAGGGAGUAAUCUAAAGCUUUUGAUCGCUUACUCCCCAAAGAAGGAGUUUGCUUGAUCGAGCUUAGGGCCCUCUUGUACCGUGCUUAUAGGCUUUUAGGCAGUUUUCAUUUAUUUAUUUAUAACAAAAAGGGAGAUGUGGGGAGCCGAGACUCAGAUGCCACUAGCUGGCGCUGACAUCUCGCCCUCAAAACUUAAACCUCCAGGGUGCAUGCGUAGAUGCGUAUACACGCUAAAGAUUGCGUAAGCACGCUAAGAAUUGCGUAGGCAUGCCGGUAAGAGUGAGCAGCCAAUCAGGGUAUUGACACGUCACUCAGGUGGACCCGGGCUUAUAUAAACAGCGCUACUCCGGGGCCCGCCCUCUCCUUCGAUCUCUUCCUUCCCCGUUUCCCCGCCCGGGGCCGCGGCCCUCGGGAAGCCGCCCGCGCCCACGAGGUGGCCGGGCGGCCUCUCUCUCCCCUCUUCAUCGCGUGACUAAUAAAGUUUACUGCGGAAGGA
Meriones unguiculatus (Mongolian gerbil) is the source of this 1742-nucleotide long non-coding RNA. RefSeq lists it as uncharacterized. Lineage: Eukaryota; Metazoa; Chordata; Mammalia; Rodentia; Muridae. The transcript is spliced from 2 exons. The record is from RefSeq and is a predicted model, not a curated record.